GAUGAAGAACGCAGCGAAAUGUGAUAAGUAAUGUGAAUUGCAGAAUCCAGUGAAUCAUCGAAUCUUUGAACGCACAUUGCGCCCCCUGGUAUUCCGGGGGGCAUGCCUGUCCGAGCGUCAUUACAACCCUCAAGCUCAGCUUGGUGUUGGGCCCCGCCGCCCCGGCGGGCCCUAAAGUCAGUGGCGGUGCCGUCCGGCUCCGAGCGUAGUAAUUCUUCUCGCUCUGGAGGUCCGGUCGUGUGCUCGCCAGCAACCCCCAAUUUUUUUCAGGUUGACCUCGGAUCAGGUAGGGAUACCCGCUGAACUUAAGCAUAUCAAUAAGCGGAGGA
This 329-nucleotide unclassified non-coding RNA is filed under the name soil metagenome. Its description in RNAcentral is "partial contains 5.8S ribosomal RNA, internal transcribed spacer 2, and large subunit ribosomal RNA". The stretch from base 1 to 120 matches the Rfam family "5.8S ribosomal RNA", at positions 35 to 154 of the family's 154-position model. The record is from RNAcentral.